UGGCGUAUAGCUCAAUUGGUAGAGCACUUGGCUGUUAACCAAGGGGUUUCCAGUUCAAGCCUGGGUAUGCCAG
This 73-nucleotide transfer RNA is filed under the name Lactonifactor sp. BIOML-A1. Its description in RNAcentral is "tRNA-Asn". It matches the Rfam family "tRNA". From Rfam's summary of the family: Transfer RNA (tRNA) molecules are approximately 80 nucleotides in length. Their secondary structure includes four short double-helical elements and three loops (D, anti-codon, and T loops). RNAcentral also lists the same sequence under 6 other names. The record is from RNAcentral. Lineage: Bacteria; Bacillati; Bacillota; Clostridia; Eubacteriales; Clostridiaceae.